This 1001-nucleotide long non-coding RNA is filed under the name Podarcis muralis (Common wall lizard). RNAcentral describes it as "lncRNA (ENSPMRG00000013229.1)". Lineage: Eukaryota; Metazoa; Chordata; Lepidosauria; Squamata; Lacertidae. The record is from RNAcentral.
ACUGGCUCCAUUAUUAUCAAAUAAUGGAGAUUUACAAGAUAGACAGGAAAAUUGGCUUCCAGGUGGAAAAAUCAAAAUUGGAGUCAGAAUUGUUAGAACCAAAAACUAAGAAUUUGUCAAAAAUGUAUAACUUGCUGUUGAAAUGGAAUACACAGGAUGAAACGGUUAAAUCAGCUAUGAUCAAGUGGGCACAAGAUAUUGGUCAUAACAUUAUGUUUGCUGAUUGGGAACGGUUGUGGACCACCGGUAUAAAAUUUACGGCAUGUAAUGCCUUAAAAGAAAAUAUUAUGAAAAUGAUAUAUAGGUGGUACAUGACACCAGUCAAGCUUGCAAAAAUCUAUCAUUUGCCUGAUAAUAAAUGUUGGAAAUGUAAAGAGAUUGAAGGUACAUUCUUUCACCUUUGGUGGACAUGCCCAAGGAUUAAGGCUUUCUGGGAAAUGAUAUAUAAUGAAAUGAAAAAGGUAUUUAAAUAUACCUUUCUGAAGAAACCAGAGGCCUUUCUCCUGGGUAUGGUCGGCCAAUUGGUGUCAAAGAAGGAUAGAACUUUUUUUAUGUAUGCUACAACAGCAGCAAGAAUACUCAUCGCAAAGUAUUGGAAGACAGAAGAUCUACCCGCCAUGGAAGAAUGGCAGAUGAAGGUGAUAGACUAUAUGGGAUUGGCAGAAAUGACCGGCAGAAUCCGAGACCAGGGAAGAGAGACGGCGGAAGAAGAUUGGAAGAAAUUUAAGGACUAUCUUAAGAAACAUUGUAAAAUUAUUGAAUGUUAGAACGAUGUUGGUUUAGAAAUUAAGUGGUUUCUAGCUGUAAUGAUCAUGCAAUUAAGAAAAGAAAGGUUGAAAAUCAAUAGAAAUUAUGGGAGGGAUUUGCUGAAUUAAAUAAUUAGAAAUUGGAAUACAGAAAGGGGAGGUAUGAGGAGGUCGGGAAAGUAAGGUAUAAGAAAAUAAGGGAUUGAAAUUAUACUUGUUGUCUGUGUUUUGUUUGUAUUUUUGUUCUUUUUAUUU